RNAcentral lists this ribosomal RNA (253 nucleotides) under uncultured bacterium. RNAcentral's name for it is "partial 16S ribosomal RNA". It matches the Rfam family "Bacterial small subunit ribosomal RNA", at positions 524 to 776 of the family's 1533-position model. The record is from RNAcentral.
UACGGAGGGGGCAAGCGUUGUUCGGAAUUACUGGGCGUAAAGCGUGCGUAGGUGGUUUGUUAAGUCUGAUGUGAAAGCCCUGGGCUCAACCUGGGAACGGCAUUGGAAACUGGCUUACUAGAGUGCGGUAGAGGGGUGUGGAAUUCCCGGUGUAGCAGUGAAAUGCGUAGAUAUCGGGAGGAACAUCUGUGGCGAAGGCGACACCCUGGACCAGCACUGACACUGAGGCACGAAAGCGUGGGGAGCAAACAGG